This 2919-nucleotide long non-coding RNA is filed under the name Mus musculus (house mouse). RNAcentral describes it as "long non-coding RNA chr15:92086224-92089143". Lineage: Eukaryota; Metazoa; Chordata; Mammalia; Rodentia; Muridae. The record is from RNAcentral.
AUGAAUGAAAUGAGUAUUUCAUGUUUCUCUGCCCUUAAUAUUUUUGAUGGGCAAUAUAAUUUAUUUCAAGCCACUUUUAAUUGGUAAUCAAUAAUAAGUGAAUUAUAUACUGUUUACUCUAACUUUUUCCUCAUGAUGUACAUGGGAGACAUUGGGCAGUAUGUCAGAGGUUGGCUUAUGGCUCACCCUGGUUCUCUUGGACCUAUGCUCUCUGUCCUUCUUUCCACAUUCAAGGACAUUUAAGGUAAAUAUCUAGAAAUAGUAAAAUUUUUAAAAAUGGUUUUAUUAAUUUUUGAGAGUUUCAGACAAUGUAUUCUGAACAUAUCCACCCCACAAACAAGUCCUGUCUUAACACAAGUCCACUUCGUGAUACCAAGCUAUGUCUUGGGAUUGAGGGCUGCUCUGUUACAUGGCCACACUAUCAGGGACCAGAUACCAAAUCAAACCCAAAACGCUGAGUCUCCCUCUCCCAGCAGCAAUCCUAUGAUAAAUAGCUCAGAUUCAAAACUACAAUUGCUGAUGCCCUUUCACUAAUACUGUAUGCUCCCAGUUGUCUAGUGAACAAAGUAGUCCUUAGUAAGAUUAGGAAUUGUCCAUUCAGUUUAAAGACAUAGGUCUUGAGAAUGAACUUAGCUUGUGAAUAGAGGUGGGCCAACACAAUAUAUUUAUGAACACUGAAGGAUGCUUUUAAUAAUCAUAUUUUGUUGGCUGAUGUCAUAAAUGAUUUGCAAAUUUUGAAAUACAAAAACCAUCAUCCUGGUGUGUAAUGUCGACCGGGUCACACAGAGCUUAGGAUCCCAAAGAAGUCUUGCUUACUACUUCAGUGUUCGUCUCAGUCAGAAACAAGUGACCUAGAACAGUAACUCAGAUGUGCAUUCAAACCUGGACUCCUGAUAGGUUGUAAAAGUUUAAAAAAAAUCUUUUUAGAGAAUUUGAAAUAUAUAGGGUUGCAAAAUCUGGCACAAUCUAAGGCUUACAAUUUCCUGUAAUAUGGUGGUAUUCACACAUGUUCUGUGUUCCAGAGGAAAGGUUCAAGGGAGUCUCAGAACAGGACACAAAGAAGAUAAUAGGCUUCAAGAGCAGCGUGGAGGUGGCUGUGAUUUGUCCCAUUGGUGCUUAUUCAAGAACAACCCUAUAUAGUCUGUAUUUUGGAAGGACGUGUUGCUUCACAUGGGUACCUCCUCCAAUGUAGAUCUACUUAAUGCACCUUGGGAACUGAUGUGCCCCAGAGACUGUGUAGCAGCUCCCAAGCCAUCUCCAGCAUGAUGGUUGACUUGAUCUCAUCCCUAGGAUUAAAGGAAGGAGUGUUCAUUUCGGGAUCAAGUGUCCUGCAAAACAGUUCUUAUGAAGAAAGCUUUUUUUGUCACGCUUAGUAAUUCUUUUAGUGCACACCAGGGUUCCUCCUUCCUGGGGUUUCCAUGCACCUAGCCUUCUGACAUUUCCAUUAAAGUAUAUUUUAAAAAAAUGUGUUGACUGAUUAACAUGGCCCUUUAAAAGCCCCACUAAAAGCCAUAUUCAUGAAUCAAAGUCAGCGAGCACCACUGGUAAUUAACUUGACGCAGUUCAGCUUUCCAAGCUAAUCAUCCUCUGGCUGCUUUGUAUAAUUGCUGUCAGCUCAGAUACACAAAACAACUGGAGUCCACUAAAUGGGGGAGAGAGGCCUGGAGCUAGGGAUUAAGCCAACUUCUUCAGCUGGGAACAUAUUCUGAUUAAAAUCCUAGAGGUCGGGGCAACAGAAGCAUUCAAAGCCUUGAUCUUAGAGUCCCGCACUUAGAUACACAAAAGUGGUCUAAGUAAGGCCCCACUGCUGGUGGGGGUUGAAUGUGAGCCCAGUAAUAAAUUCACAGGGCUUGCCAUGGGCAGAAGAGGAGACUGUUUACCCUGCAGGACACCAGGCUAAGGAGCUCAGGCUCAGCAGUGAGAUGUGCUCAUGUGCGAGCCCCUCGCUGUGUGUGAUUUUGAAGUGGCUACCCCACAUCUUUCAGCUCCUUUCCCAUUAGGAAAAACAAAUAGGAGAAAUGACUUAAUGCUACACACACCAAAUAAACAGUAAGAAACCCAAUGUGAUGACUUACCAAGAAAUAUAAAAUGAAUUGCCCCUAAGAUUCAAAAAUGAAGACUCACUACACUGGUUAGAAAGUUUGAAGGAAAAGUUGAUUUUAUAGAUUUUAUUUUAUUUUUUUGCAAAGAUCAUCUUUUAAUAAUUCAUUAACUAAGUUGAGUCUGUUUAAUUUUGUUUGUUUGUGUGUAUGUGUGUGUGUGUUGUUUUUUGUAAAGUCAUUAUUGGUGUCCUUUUAUUUUGUUGAGACAGACUCUUCUGAAGAUCAGGCCUCUGGUUUUCUAAAUAGUGGAGGGUGGCCUCGAACUCCUAACCCUCCUGCCUCUAUCUCCCAGAUGCUGGGAUUGUAAGUACACACUACUGUGGCUGUAAGAUGAGUCUAUCUAGUAAGAGAGUAUGUGCACAAUUAUGUAACAAGAAAAGCAUAUUGCUGAAUAGUAAAGAAAUAAAUUGUUUCAUUAUAAACUAUAUAGUUGAUCCACAAUAUUUAUCCAAAUUUCUUAUAUCAUUUAUGUACUUUUACUCUCUUAGAAAAUCUUAUGCCUAAUAAAAUUAUUUUUCUUUAAAUAAGCCAUUUAACCCUGCAUGCCCACCCAUCCCAGCACAGCCUCUCUGCUCUUCAUUGCUGUUAUGUUCUUUGUGUUGUUUCUUCACCACCAAUGAUGACUGUAAAGACUUUGGAUGGAGGACAAUUUCCUAGAUAUGAACAGAGGAAGAACACAGAGGACCAAGGGGCAAGCCAAGGAGGGUGUACAGACUCUGUCUGCAGAGCCUUCCUGGAAAGUCCAGCCAGUGACUUCCAGUCAUAUCAGAGGUCAGAGGGGUAUUAAGACCUUUAAUAUUUCCUCUACCUUAUAACC